GGGGCACGGGCCCUGCUGCAAACGGGCGCGCUCCCUUCUGGGCAAGCAGGUGCGAGGCGCGCGCCAUGGAACAGCCCUUAGCUGAGUUUCGGUUUGCGCGCAAACGGCCGGCCUGGCCGCCCAACGCAGCAUUUCCAGCCAGGGCGCACAAACCUCGGGAGAGAAGGUGGAAGCCGCAGGGGCUCUAAAGGCAGCCCCAGGUUGGCUAAAGCGGUUCCUGGUACGGACACCAAGGCCCCCGUGCUCGGGCCCUACCCAGCCUGGUUCAGCCCGCGAACCACGCAGCUCCGGAC
RNAcentral lists this long non-coding RNA (293 nucleotides) under Homo sapiens (human). Its description in RNAcentral is "HSALNT0198720". The record is from RNAcentral. Lineage: Eukaryota; Metazoa; Chordata; Mammalia; Primates; Hominidae.